CCUACGGGAGGCAGCAGUGGGGAAUAUUGGGCAAUGGGCGAAAGCCUGACCCAGCAACGCCGCGUGAAGGAAGAAGGCUUUCGGGUUGUAAACUUCUUUUGACAGGGAAGAGCAGAAGACGGUACCUGUCGAAUAAGCCACGGCUAACUACGUGCCAGCAGCGGCGGGAAUACGUAGGUGGCAGGCGUUGUCCGGAUUUACUGGGUGUAAGGGGCGUGUAGCCGGGCUGACAAGUCAGAUGUGAAAUCCGGGGGCUCAACCCCCGAACGGCAUUUGAAACUGUUGGUCUUGAGUAUCGGAGAGGCAGGCGGAAUUCCUAGUGUAGCGGUGAAAUGCAUAGAUAUUAGGAGGAACACCAGUGGCGAAGGCAGCCUGCUGGACGACAACUGACGGUGAGGCACGAAAGCGUGGGGAGCAAACAGGAUUAGAUACCCCAGUAGUC
RNAcentral lists this ribosomal RNA (442 nucleotides) under uncultured bacterium. RNAcentral describes it as "partial 16S ribosomal RNA". It matches the Rfam family "Bacterial small subunit ribosomal RNA", at positions 338 to 795 of the family's 1533-position model. The record is from RNAcentral.